UUGGUCACGUCAUCGGAUUUCCGGUGUGGCGCAGGAGUGUUUGUUUGGCAAGGUGUUGUCGGUUGCUGUUGUUGAAAUAAUUUCAAGCAGCACUCAAGUUUCAAGGGCACGUCUUCUGUCAGACUCCUGAAAUGGAUUCGAUCUAUGAAAAUUCUAAUGUCAUACUUUCAACGGUUGCGUCAGAUGAAAAAUGCUCUCAGUACAAAGGUUAUAACACCAAAGUGCAAGAAAGUGAGAGGAAAGUUUAUCCACCUAAAUGGAAAAAAGUUCUUCUGAUUGCUUUUGCUGUCUGUAUUUCUUUGGCUCUUGGGGGUCUCUGUAUUUUAGGGAUCUUGUAUGUCAGUGCUUCAGUGCAGCUGUCUGCCCAAGAAACUAAUGGCACAAGUGAGUAAAAUAUAUUUCAUACACAAGCAAAGGACACAGAAAGCCAUUUGCCUAAUCUCCUCUUGCUGACCUAUUGUUAAUAAAUAUCUUAGCUCUUUAUCUUUUGAUGCCAUCCUAGCAUUGGGCCCAUGGAAAGAAUUAUGAACAUGAAGCCAGUUGUUUGUUCACAAACUUCUUCCAAGUGUAUUGUCUCCUACAUUAGAUUAUAUAGAUCCAUUGACAGGGGGUGGUGUUAUGGUUUAUCCAGUAGGAUAACCUUACAUAUGUGUGUCAUAAAAACAAAAGAUGUGCCAUAUAGAAGUAAAACAAUUCUGGGAGAAGAGUAGUAGUGCUUUUUUCCAGAGGCAUCCUGAUAUUCAAACUAUAUAUCUUUAAAAACAAGAGGUAUAGGGAGGGGGAGUACAGUAGAUAUGAGGGAGAGAGAACACAAACAGGAAGACUCACAGUAAUAUUUGGCAGAGAGUGUGAUAUUAUUUAACAGUUCCCCCAUUUGUUUAUAUAAUAAACAUCAUAAAGGCUCUCUGCCCAGUUCCCCUUCCCUUAACAUUUGAUCAAGAUUUUUCUCAAUCAACUUAAGAUUAGCGCAUUUCUGUUCAUCACGGCACUUGUAAAUCAAGAUAAAAAUCUACUCAUAUUCAGUAAACCUAAAUCAGUCAAUAUUUAGGUUUAUAUCUUGAAUAUAAACUAUGAAUAUAUCUUUAACCUCAGAUAGAUAUCCUUAAUUUAACUAUUAGAUUUUCACCAGGACAGUCAGAUGUGGGCCACCAUAAGAACUAACCCCUAAUGUCACCUGGACUUUUGCUGUGUUGAGGACUUACUGCAGCCCUCAGGCUUUUAAAGUCAGGAGGACUUUUAAAUUUAGUAAAUUUUUUUCCACUUAUAUAAUUUAUACUACCUUUUUAAUUUUAAUUUUAGCCUGUGAUAGUGAUGUAUCCAGCGUAAGAGUCGAGAUAAUCUGACAAAUUAACUUUUAAAGAUAGACCUAUGCAGUGACUCAACAGUGAGCAAACUUUGGGCUUUUAAACCACCAGUUGAGUUCACUCAUUCUCCUUGUUGGUCCCCCUUGGAGACUCUUUAGCCUCUGCCAGAAUUAGAAGCACACCUGUUGUGAACUCAGAAUGCACCACUUUUCAGCAACGUUAAGGGAACACAUACCUUGUCCAAAUACCCACACUUGCGGUCUUGGCCACUUGAAAGCACGUGCAAGCGACAGGAAGUAAGUGCGCAAAACUGUCCCAGGUCUUAAACAUGCCAAAGUGCAGUGCCCUUAACGCACACUAAAUCCACACUAUCUUGUAUUCCGCUCAGGAGCAGUAUUCAAGGCUUAGUGUAUCCCAUCAUGCAUCAUGUUCUGGAAAUAAAUUGUGAGAGUUUUUGCCGAGAUCUCGUGAGAGGCCACAGACACCUUUCCAGUGUAAGUUAAAUAUUAAUAUAAGACUUAGAUAUUACAUCUAAUUUGGUAGAAACAAAAAGCCUUUUUUUGAGGCGGCCUCUGUAGUGAUCACUGUAUAUGCAGUAUCUGCCCACGAGUGAAUAAAUGAAAGUCUCGUGAUAUUAUCAGUCAAGAUGAACAUGUUUUGGCUGUUUCAGUGUCUCUCUAUGUCUUUCAGUCUGUAAUUUGGUGAUGAGGACAUAGUGGGGCAUUGGAGUUUUGACUCUGUAUGCAGUUAUCUUCCUCUGUCUGCCUGUCAUGGCAGAUUUUUCAUGUCUGCAUUAUUUCUCAGGCUUUCUCCAUUCUAGCCCAUCCCAGAUGUGUCGGAUUCCUCUUACAGGGGGUGCAGCCAAUCACCCAUCAGCUUUUCCUGUUUUUCACAGCUGUAAUGUCUCUUUCUUCAUGUUGUAUCGCCCAUUGUCAGCUGUCCCAGAAGUCGACUGUUUUCUUCUAUAAAAUGAACACUCAAGAGAACCGCAUUGUAAACUUUGACCACAACUGCAUAUAAGCAAUCUGUGCUAUGGUCAGUCAUCCUGUGCCACUGUCCAAAAUUUAGGAAAUCUCAUCCAGUUAAAAACAUGUAUAGCAGUUCUUUAUUUUGUUUUAAUAAAGCAAGUUCUUCUUUGCAAGACAAGAGCAAGCAAUUCCUUUUUGGCAUAAUGCCGAAAAGAGCAGUAACCUAUUCUGACUGAUCUGAACAUAUCAUACUUCUAUAGUCCUUAUGUAUUAUAAAUAUAGACUGAAAUCUUGUAAAUAGUCUACCAAAUGUAACAACCAAAGUCAAGAAAAAAUCAUUUUCCUAUGUUUCUUGUUAUUAUUAGCUGAAUACGGCUGUUUAAAGUAGUCAGUCUUGUUCUCAUUGAUCACAAUGCUCAAGUUAUUUUAGUUAACACAAACUAAAGUCUCAAUCUCUGCAGUUUAUCACAUUUUAGGAUGUCCCCCAGAGAUAACGGACACAGACUCCAUACAUCUAAAGAUAACAGAAUGUAAUACAAGCCAUAUCUUUGAAGACCUGUAUUUAACAUUAUAUUAUUUAUUAAUUUAUCAAUAUAAUUCUCUUGUGGCUGCCACUUUUCAUAAAAAAGUAUUCCCUUUAACUUUUCAGAGCCAAUACAUAACUCAAAUGUCCUAAAAUCUUCUCAGCCAAAUACAGUUGUACAUUUCUGCUCUAUAGAUUCUCAUGCAUCUAAUCAACAGUAUUAUAUUAUAAUGUUGGCUUUGUUGAUGACUGACAAUGCUUUUUAAAAUAUCAGCACACUUGAUCUAACAUGUGGGCAAACACAAAACAAAGCAAGAGUAGAUUCAUUUAAAAUGAAUGGGUAAUGAAAAAUGUAUCUUUUGCAAAACAUCCAUUCUCCUUCCCACAUAUAAAUCGUGAGGAUAACCUGCAGAUCAACAGUCGGCUGCGAAACAGUACUGUUCUUCCCGUAUAUCUUACACAAAACGAGGAUAACCCACUCUGCCAAAUAUGGCAGAGUGUAAAUUCACGGCAUGAAAAUAUAAUCAAUUUGUUAACAGACAGCUAGAAUAAUUCAUUAUUGACUAUUUCUCACCUGUCUGUAGAAAUUCCCAAAAAGACGAGCCCCCCUUUGUUAAUAAAUAUCUUAGCUCUUUAUCUUUCGAUGCCAUCCGACUAUUCUCAGUCCUUGCAUGGGCCCAUGGAAAGAAUUAUGAACAUGAAGCCAAUUGUCCGUUCACAAACUUCUUCCAAGUUUAUUGUCUCCUACAUUAGAUUAUAUAGAUCCAUUGACAGGGGGUGGUGUUAUGGUUUAUCCAGUAGGAUAAACCUUACAUAUGUGCGUCAUACAAAACAAAAGAUGUGUAAUAUAGAAGUAAAACAAUUCUGAGAGAAGAAUAGCUUCUUUCCAGAGGCAUCCUGUUAUUCAAAUUAUAUAUACUUAAAAACAAGAGGUAUAGGGAGGGGGAGUACUGUAGAUAGGAGGGAGAGAGAACACAAACAGGAAAACUCAAAGUAAUGUUUGGCAGAGAGCAUGAUAACAUUUAACACCUAUCCUGGAGCAUGUGGCACAUCAUGUCGUAAUUAAAUAUCUAAAUUAAUAACCAACAUACACAGUCAAAAAGUAAUGAUCUCUUGAAAAUAAGUGUCUGAUUAAACACAGAGCUAGAAUAAAAUUUAAACCUAGUCCUAAUAAACUUUACAUAAGUGCAGGUAAAAUAUCUACAUGCAUUAUACCUUAACCCACGCUGCUGAAUUCCAUCAUUGGGUCAGUUGGGUGGUCCUUACACACCCAAUACAGCAGCAAGUUUCAUGUACACAGAAAUGGCAACGUGAGUAACUUUGUCUGUUUUUCUUCCAUUAUCUUCUUAUUUCUGUAUUAGUCAUGGAGCUUGAAGAACUUACAGCCAACUACACCAGAGUGUAGUUCCGCAUUAUCCACAUACAUCUCUGCAUUAACAACAGCGAGUUAUGUUUGUUUUUAGCUUAAACCAGUUUUGAUUAACCACCCUUGUUGAUUCCCUUUUUUCAUAACUGUCUUUGAACCAGAGCUUAUGGUUAAGUACACCAGACUGCAUUUCUCUUUCAGACUCAUGGCACAAGCUUUGACAAAGUGUCUAAAAACAUCUGUACAUUAAACCAAACUUUGAUUCACUUCUAGUGUCAUGGUCUGAAGAACGCAUCAGUUUCAUCUCAACUUUAUUGUCUUUUUUUCUUUCUUUCUUGGCCUUGUGAAUGCAGACUACAAAGCACAGUUUGACGUGCUCCGCGACCAGCAUGAGGAGACACUUAGAAAGCCGAACAGAUUUAAUCGAUUUUGUUACCUCUAAUGUUGAAGUAACCACCUGAUUUGGUCUUAAUGAUUUGGACACUGAGGGACACUGGGUUUGGGUGAACAACCAGCCACUUAACAAUUCAGUAGAAUUCUGGAUAAAACGAAAAGAUGAAAUCAGUGAGCCUGAUAACUGGACUAAAGUUCAUCCAGAUGGUGAAGACUGCGCUAGUCUGGGACAUCCAAACGGAGAGACGGAUUUCUGGACAGAUGCUUACUGUUUUGAAGAGAAAAGAU
Labeo rohita (rohu) is the source of this 4842-nucleotide RNA transcript. It is a transcript of the gene named C-type lectin domain family 4 member F-like, with no coding region annotated. The transcript is spliced from 5 exons. The record is from RefSeq and is a predicted model, not a curated record. NCBI's taxonomy places the organism in Eukaryota, Metazoa, Chordata, Actinopteri, Cypriniformes, Cyprinidae.